This is a non-coding RNA of Hydra vulgaris (swiftwater hydra), 1964 nucleotides long. The record is from RefSeq and is a predicted model, not a curated record. Lineage: Eukaryota; Metazoa; Cnidaria; Hydrozoa; Anthoathecata; Hydridae.
UUGAAUUGAGUAUAAUAAUAGAAAAAUACUAAAUAGAUAUAUAAUAUACAUGUUAAUAAAGAUAAUCAUAAAUGCUAAAUAUAGAAAUAAUAAUUUAAUGAAGAGUAGACAAAGUAUGGUUGUGAUAAUAUUUAUUUUAUGAGUAGCUGUCGAGAUUUGCUUUAGUUUUACUUAAAAAGAUUUUGAAUUCAAGUUUUUAGUUUUUAUGGAGUAGGGGAGAUUGGUGCAUUGAUGUUUUAUAGAGUUUUUACCAUAUCUUAUUGUGCAGCUAUGUUUAACAAAUAUACUUUUGGAUGAUGAGGAUCUAAGGUGAUAGGAGUGUUGGCUACUAGUUUUGGAGAAGGAAGUAAAAGUAUUUGGGAGUCUACCAUGCAAGCAAUCCCAUAGUAAGGCUUUCCACUGCAAAGUUUUGCUCCAAAUCAACUUCCAACGAAUGGAGAAAUGCUCACAAUAUUUUUUUGGCUCAACAUUAGAAAAGAAACUAGGUUGUCCAUAAAAACAGACAGCAAAUAUCUAUGAAAGUUACAAAGAAGUACUUGCAGAAUAUCUAAUAAGUAUCACAACUCAUCAUGUUUUUAUUGCUUUUUCAACUCAAUUUAGAACUGUUAUCUGAAAUAAAGUUGUCACACAAAAUCUGUAUCUUUUUUAUUCUAUUAGAUAUAUUGUAAAUCAAAACCAGUGUUCUAUAAGUGUUAUAAAUUUAGAACUAUAUUCGGAAUUUAAAAUGUAAUAUUCAGCAAAAAUUCAAUUAUAUAGAAACCGCAUUCUUUACCUUAGAGUUGAUUUUGAAGUCUGAAAUUUUCACUAUAAGCUACUAAUACAUAAUGGUAACAAUUGAACUUUUCCACAUUUUGAUUUUCAAAAAAAAAAAUUUUUUUGAGAUACCCUAAUACAGAGGUUGAAAAUGGUAUAAAUUCAAACUUUGUCCACAUUCUUCAAAAACAUUGAUAAAGAAAAUUUUAUUGAAUAUCUGUAAGUCAAUAGAUUGAUGAUAAAGAAGGAAAGACAUGUUUGUGGACAUGCUACGAAUGCUUAAAAAUUCAAGCAAUUCAAUGUAUGUCUACUCAUUUACUUUGUUAACAUUUACUUUGUUAUACUACAGUAAUUAAAUCAUAAAAUUAAUGUAUCGAGACUUGAGAAUAGCGUUUCCAUAAACCUGCAAAUGUUUUUUCAUGUUAAAUAUUGAUCUAGUUUUAUUUUUACGAAGCCAUAUGUCCUGAGAACUUCAGUACUUAAAAGCCAUAUAUCCUGAGAACUUCAGUACUCAAACUAGGUAAAACUAUCUUUGAUUUAGCUUUGAAUAUUUAUAAAGUGACGCACAGCCUUGUUAUUCUCAUGUUUUCAUAUGUUGUACUAAUUUUGUCUAGCUGUCUAAUUAUUUAUCUUUAAUUGAUAUUAUUUGAAAAAAAGAUAGUUUUGCAUGGAGAUGUUUUGGAUGAAUGAUUGUUUAGUGUGAAUUAGGUGUAAUGCCACAUAACAUUUUUUAGUUAAUGCUUUUGUAGUGUGCAAGUUCAAAAACAAAUCUUUUGUAGUGUGCAAGUUCAAGAAGUUCCUGUGAGCAGCGCUGCUUUAUAAAAGUUUGCAAAAAAUUUUAAAUUUAAUGCAGAUGUCUAAAAAUGACAGGGCGGCUUUAUAGGUUAUUUAUAGGAAUUAUAAGUAUUUUGUAUGAUAAACUGUGGUAAUUACUUGACUUUUUUUUUUUUUUUUUUUGUGUGCAUGUUAAUGAAAAUUAUUCUUUGUAGUUAUAUAUAUAAAUAUUUCGUUUUGUUUUUAUGUAAUUUCUGACGAAAAUCAUCAAGCAAGAUAAUAAAAAUUGAAAGAAAAGAUAUGAAAUUUUUUAUUGUAAAUGUGAUUGUGUAUUAAUGAUUGGCUUUUUUGGUAUACGAUGUAAUGAUGUCUGAUGAUUUUGUUAUAUCAUCUUAAAUUAUUUUAUUGCAUAAUAUAUUUUGGUUUUGUUUCCUGGA